RNAcentral lists this non-coding RNA (21 nucleotides) under Caenorhabditis elegans. Lineage: Eukaryota; Metazoa; Nematoda; Chromadorea; Rhabditida; Rhabditidae. The record is from RNAcentral.
UUCAAUCCACUUUUUCCAUUC